This is a small nucleolar RNA of Chelydra serpentina (North American snapping turtle), 121 nucleotides long. The record is from Ensembl. NCBI's taxonomy places the organism in Eukaryota, Metazoa, Chordata, Testudines, Chelydridae.
CCUCCAAUUCUUGUCAUGCAUGGAGUUGCUUUGUAUAGAAUAUUUGUGCACAUCCUGGUGUUAUGUCUUCAGUACCAGCAGCUUCCCUCUGCUGGUUCUAUCCUCACUCACCAAGGCAUGU